GAAAACCAGACUAUUAGUAUUUAGGGUUUUAGCGAUGGCCUCUAUAAAGAGGCGGCGAGCCAGAAGGAGAUUCAGCGCACCGCACGGCAGUCUACUGAGGGUGAAGGGGGGUUCUUCGCUUUCAAAUUACUCUCUUCUCUGUCAAUUCUCUUUCUCUUAUCUUUUGCGUUUGGCCUCCCUUUAUAGAAGAAAGGAUCGUCAAUCAAAUGAUGAGAAAAAACUGCAACAAUAUGAUGGAUUCUUUCCAUGAUUCAUGGUAUUUAAGUCUCUGAUGAUUGAUUCUUUUUAGUCUCUCAUUAUUUCAUCGAGGUUUUUCCCCAUUUCUUUGGGUCAGUGAAAUGCUUUAUUUAUUUAUUUAAAAAAAAAUAGAGAAAUUUUUGAGAUAUGAUGAGUAAUUUUAAUUGGUCCGUGUUUCUGAUUUAAUCGUGACUGAUACCCAUUUAGCACACUCUGAUCUCUUAUUUCUUUUUAAAUUAUUUUUCCAUUUGGGAAAAUUCCUUUUUUUUUUCCUUUUGAUUUUCUUGGACAAAUUAAUGAGCUCUGUGAUUAUAUGCCCAGAUUUGGGGGCGUAUACGCUAUUCUGAUUAAAACGUGAGCAGAUAUCUGAAGAAAAUGAGAGCUAUUUUCAUUGUAUUUACAUUUUUUGGGAUUUUUUUAAUUAGUUUUAAUAAUUCGAAGAUAUAUUCAAGCUUCUGCAAUGAUGAAUUUAUGAAACAAUUCACAUGUCAGACUUCAGAGAUUAUUCAAUCAGUGAGAAGGAAAUUCAUAUUUCUGAGCAGAGUUGAAAUUAUUUUCGAUUUCUUGUUCUACAGAGCUAAUUUCUAAGCUGUCUUUGGGGAUGAGAAAUUGCUGGCGUUUAAAUGCUUUCCACUGAGGAAUUCCUUGUAUUCUAUAGAAGAAUCAUUAAGCCCAAGGCUCUGUUAAUUAUUUUAAAAGUUCUUAUAAUCGAAACAUAUUAAAUUUAAUUUUAAA
RNAcentral lists this unclassified non-coding RNA (972 nucleotides) under Hevea brasiliensis (rubber tree). The stretch from base 690 to 782 matches the Rfam family "Small nucleolar RNA R64/Z200 family". Lineage: Eukaryota; Viridiplantae; Streptophyta; Magnoliopsida; Malpighiales; Euphorbiaceae. The record is from RNAcentral.